Molecule: long non-coding RNA, 153 nt
Organism: Bradysia coprophila
Lineage: Eukaryota; Metazoa; Arthropoda; Insecta; Diptera; Sciaridae
Source: RefSeq, a predicted model, not a curated record
UUUUGCAACAAUAAAGAGUGCCAGACUUCAGCUGGAUGAACUUAUUUCAUAACGUGAACAUCAUUUCGAUUCCCGUUCCAAUUACGUUGCAGCUUUUGCGAUUGAUGUUUAAGUAUUCCUUGUGGUUUACAAUCAAAUAGAUUAUCAGAAAAU